AGCAGCCGCGGUAAUUCCAGCUCCAAUAGCGUAUAUUAAAGUUGUUGCAGUUAAAAAGCUCGUAGUUGAAUUUCGGGAUCAAUACGUCGGUCGUGCUUCGGUACGUACUGGCGUAAUUGAUUUCUCCCUUCUGACGAACCAUGAUGUCAUUAACUUGGUGUCAUGGGAAAUCAGGACUGUUACUUUGAAAAGAUUAGAGUGUUUAAAGCAGGCUCACGCUUGAAUACAUUAGCAUGGAAUAAUGAAAUAGGACGUUCGAUCCUAUUUUGUUGGUUUUUAGGAUCAACGUAAUGAUUAAUAGGGAUAGUUGGGGGCAUUAGUAUUCAAUUGUCAGAGGUGAAAUUCUUGGAUUUAUUGAAGACUAACUACUGCGAAAGCAUUUGCCAAGGAUGUUUUCAUUAAUCAAGAACGAAAGUUAGGGGAUCGAAGACGAUCAGAUACCGUCGUAGUCUUAACCAUAAACUAUGCCGACUAG
RNAcentral lists this ribosomal RNA (475 nucleotides) under uncultured Glomus. Its description in RNAcentral is "SSU rRNA". It matches the Rfam family "Eukaryotic small subunit ribosomal RNA", at positions 569 to 1049 of the family's 1831-position model. Lineage: Eukaryota; Fungi; Glomeromycota; Glomeromycetes; Glomerales; Glomeraceae. The record is from RNAcentral.